GUAAAUUCAAUGAUGAGAAGAGUAGAAAAUGUUAUAUCUUCAGCGAGUAGAGGUUUGGUGCAAGCUCUAUAGGUAGAUGUUUUUGAAGAGAAUCUCUAAGAAGUGUCUAAGCGUUUGUACGUGAGGAUAACCGUUAACCACGUUAUGGUUUUAAGUGGACAAUUAAGGUAGCUUAUUAAGAUACCUUAGUCAAUUAGAGUGGUACCGCGGAUAAUCCGUCUCUUGU
This 226-nucleotide non-coding RNA is filed under the name Clostridium cellulovorans. RNAcentral describes it as "T-box sequence". It matches the Rfam family "T-box leader". Rfam says of the family: Uncharged tRNA acts as the effector for transcription antitermination of genes in the T-box leader family. Lineage: Bacteria; Bacillati; Bacillota; Clostridia; Eubacteriales; Clostridiaceae. The record is from RNAcentral.